UACGAAGGGGGCUAGCGUUGUUCGGAAUCACUGGGCGUAAAGCGCACGUAGGCGGAUCUUUAAGUCAGGGGUGAAAUCCCAGAGCUCAACUCUGGAACUGCCUUUGAUACUGGGGAUCUCGAGUUCGGGAGAGGUGAGUGGAACUGCGAGUGUAGAGGUGAAAUUCGUAGAUAUUCGCAAGAACACCAGUGGCGAAGGCGGCUCACUGGCCCGAUACUGACGCUGAGGUGCGAAAGCGUGGGGGAGCAAACAGG
This 254-nucleotide ribosomal RNA is filed under the name uncultured bacterium. Its description in RNAcentral is "partial 16S ribosomal RNA". It matches the Rfam family "Bacterial small subunit ribosomal RNA", at positions 524 to 776 of the family's 1533-position model. The record is from RNAcentral.